GAGUUUGAUCCUGGCUCAGGAUGAACGCUAGCGGCAGGCUUAAUACAUGCAAGUCGUGGGGCAGCAGGGGUAGCAAUACCCGCUGGCGACCGGCAAACGGGUGCGGAACACGUACGCAACCUUCCUUUAACUGGAGAAUAGCCCCUCGAAAGAGGGAUUAAUACUCCGUAACAUAUAAAUGUGGCAUCACAAUUAUAUUAUAGCUCCGGCGGUUAAAGAUGGGCGCGCGCCUGAUUAGAUAGUUGGCGGGGUAACGGCCCACCAAGUCUGCGAUCAGUAACUGGUGUGAGAGCACGACCAGUCACACGGGCACUGAGACACGGGCCCGACUCCUACGGGAGGCAGCAGUAAGGAAUAUUGGUCAAUGGACGCAAGUCUGAACCAGCCAUGCCGCGUGGAGGAUUAAGGCCCUCUGGGUUGUAAACUCCUUUUAUCUGGGAAGAAAUGCAUUUUUUUUAAAGCUGCUUGCACGGUACCAGAGGAAUAAGCACCGGCUAACUCCAGUGCCAGCAGCC
Molecule: ribosomal RNA, 515 nt
Filed under: uncultured bacterium
Lineage: Bacteria
Description: bacterial SSU rRNA
Rfam family: Bacterial small subunit ribosomal RNA
Source: RNAcentral